This 425-nucleotide long non-coding RNA is filed under the name Rattus norvegicus (Norway rat). RNAcentral's name for it is "long non-coding RNA NONRATT022352". Lineage: Eukaryota; Metazoa; Chordata; Mammalia; Rodentia; Muridae. The record is from RNAcentral.
GAGCUAUAGAAAAAGAACACUUCUAAACAAAUCUAACAGAAUAUUUUAUGGAAACUUUUGGGGUAGAAAAUUAUGUGUAUAAUAGUAAUAUAAAAUAGACUUUGAACUAUUACUUUCUCUGUCCUAGGUUUAAAUUAGAUUCAGCCGAAUCCUUUCUCUGGAUGGCUAAGAACAAUUAUCAUAAAUAAACCAAUGAAGCCUAAACAUCUGUUUAAAAGAUUGUGAAGUUUAAAAGAAGGUGAAGCACGUUUCAUGGAUGUAAAUGUUACAAAUCCAGUUAUGGCGACUACAUGGAGCUGACAAGUUCCUGCUUGUGGGUCUCAAGCUACAAUUUUGCUAUUUUCAUAUUCUGACCAUUGAAGCCCAGAUCUGUCUUCACCUGCAUCUUUACUCAGUACCUUCGACCAGGAGGAGGCUGUCAAAAA